Molecule: long non-coding RNA, 1106 nt
Organism: Myotis brandtii (Brandt's bat)
Lineage: Eukaryota; Metazoa; Chordata; Mammalia; Chiroptera; Vespertilionidae
Exons: 4
Source: RefSeq, a predicted model, not a curated record
GGAGGGGGCUGCCUGCGGGCUCUCUGCCCGCACUUCCUCCAUCCGCCGCCGGCAGCGGCCUCUGGAGGACUUACCCUUCUUGGGAUUUGAAGGCCGAAGCCAGGCUCUAGCGGGAACGGGGCCCUGCAGGGCCUGCGUCAGCUCCAGUUUAGGGCCCUCAGAGUCAUAGUUGGUGCAGCUACCAGCGCGUCACCCUCCCUCCGCCCCCCUCCGGCCCUCGUCCCGCCCUCAUUUCUCUGGAGGCAAAGGGCCUUUUAUCUCCCGGGAGGGUCUCACCUAGGCCUUCAAACGCCGGUCGGGCGGGGCUGGAAGGGCAGAAUUAGCGUAGAGGAAGGUGGGUCGGCCGCGUUCGGGCUGUAGCCCCGGGAAUCCUUGACAGGAAGUGUGGGGUUUGCUGCCCAGCCUCCCACGCAGUGUAGGUGAAACUGGGCCCCUUCGAGGGACUGUGACUAAGGACAAAACUCUGAUAAAUAUUAUGUGUGCGUCCUUGGGCCGAGAGGGAGAAAGCAAAAGGGGCGAGUUAAUUUUCAUAAAUUGCUAUGCAGAGAUUGAAACGCAAACUAUAAAAUGUCCUCUUAAGAGUUGCCUUGAAAUCUUAACAAGUUUAACAAGAUUUUUGGUGCACGGCAACUUUUUUCCUGGCUUCGUAUGCUGUCACAUCUUCAUUCUGCAACACUGCGUGCAUAGAAAGUGGAUCUGUUAAAAAUUAUUAGCUACAAAACAAAAAGAAAACUGCUUUCACCAUCUUUAUCAUUUUAAUUUCAGAGAAGUCAAUAAGCUUACUUUUCCAAUAAGCUUAUCUAAUUAACCUGCGAGUAGGUAUUGCCUGCCAUAUCAGGACUAGUUCUUGGGACCCACCACUGUUUACUGAUAUUCACCACUAUAUUGAUCAAGUUGCUGCUGAAGGAACACUGACUCCUGGAUAGCUUCCUCCAAGUGGGGGCUUUUUCUUUCUAUCAUGCAGAACACUUCAAGAAAAUGAGAAAACAAGCCACACACUGGGAAGAAACAUUUGCAAGACACAUCUCUGAUAAAGUAUUGGUAACCCCAAUAUGUAAAAGACUCUAAGAAAACAAGCAAUCCAAUAAAGAAAAAAAUGGGCAAAA